GCCUAGCCCUAAAUCUCGAUGCCUGCCCUACCAAAGCAUCCGCCCGGGGACUACGAGCACAAACGCUUAAAACUCUAAGGACUUGGCGGUACCCCAAACCCACCUAGAGGAGCCUGUUCUAUAAUCGACAACCCACGAUACACCUAACCACUUCUUGCCCAACCAGCCUACAUACCGCCGUCGCCAGCUCACCUCCCCUGAGAGCAUAGCAGUGAGCACAAUCGCCCUAACCCCGCUAGUAAGACAGGUCAAGGUAUAGCCCAUGAAGUGGAAGAAAUGGGCUACAUUUUCUAACUUAGAAAACCCUAAACGAAAGGGGGUAUGAAUAACCCCCGGAAGGCGGAUUUAGCAGUAAAGGAGAAUAAUAAAGUCCCCUUUAAACCGGCUCUGAGGUAC
Molecule: ribosomal RNA, 396 nt
Filed under: Chalcophaps indica
Lineage: Eukaryota; Metazoa; Chordata; Aves; Columbiformes; Columbidae
Description: partial 12S ribosomal RNA
Rfam family: Bacterial small subunit ribosomal RNA
Source: RNAcentral